GUCCACGCCCUAAACGGUGGGCAUUAGGUGUAGGGUCCGCAAGGGUUCUGUGCCGAAGGGAAACCAUUAAAUGCCCCGCCUGGGGGAGUACGGCCGCAAGGUUGAAACUCAAAGGAAUUGACGGGGGCCCGCACAAGCGGUGGAGCAUGUGGUUUAAUUCGACGCUACGCGAAGAACCUUACCUGGGCUUGACAUGUUAGUGGUAAGAGCCCGAAAGGGUGAUGAUUCCCGAGUAAUCGGGAAAGCUAACACAGGUGCUGCAUGGCUGUCGU
This 272-nucleotide ribosomal RNA is filed under the name uncultured bacterium. Its description in RNAcentral is "partial 16S ribosomal RNA". It matches the Rfam family "Bacterial small subunit ribosomal RNA", at positions 793 to 1055 of the family's 1533-position model. The record is from RNAcentral.